UUGCUAUGAUGCUCUUAUUUUUCGUCAACAGUAAUCCACCUCAGUGGUUGUUGAGAUGAUCAUUCUGAGCGG
Onychostoma macrolepis is the source of this 72-nucleotide small nucleolar RNA. RefSeq annotates it as small nucleolar RNA SNORD56. Lineage: Eukaryota; Metazoa; Chordata; Actinopteri; Cypriniformes; Cyprinidae. The transcript has a single exon. The record is from RefSeq and is a predicted model, not a curated record.